This 301-nucleotide ribosomal RNA is filed under the name uncultured bacterium. RNAcentral's name for it is "partial 16S ribosomal RNA". It matches the Rfam family "Bacterial small subunit ribosomal RNA", at positions 509 to 808 of the family's 1533-position model. The record is from RNAcentral.
CAGUCGCCGCGGUAAUACGGAGGGUGCAAGCGUUAAUCGGAAUUACUGGGCGUAAAGCGCACGCAGGCGGUCUGACAAGUCAGAUGUGAAAUCCCCGGGCUUAACCUGGGAACUGCAUUUGAAACUGUCAGGCUGGAGUCUUGUAGAGGGGGGUGGAAUUCCAGGUGUAGCGGUGAAAUGCGUAGAGAUCUGGAGGAAUACCGGUGGCGAAGGCGGCCCCCUGGACAAAGACUGACGCUCAGGUGCGAAAGCGUGGGGAGCAAACAGGAUUAGAGACCCAGUAGUCCCUGUCUCUUAUACA